GGAUAACUACGGAAAAGCUGUAGCUAAUACUUGCUUUAGCACUCUUGAUUAAGUUCUUGAGUGUGUACUUGUUAAGCCUUUUAAGAAAAAAGUUAUUAACUUAAGGAAUUAUAACAAAGAAGCAACACGUAAAUGGAUUUUCCAUUUUUUAGUGUGUAUCAAUCGAGUUUCUGACCUAUCAGCUUUUGAUGUUAGGGUAUUGGCCUAACAUGGCUAUGACGGGUAACGGGGAAUUAGAGUUCGAUUCCGGAGAGGGAGCCUGAGAAAUAGCUACCACAUCUAAGGAAGGCAGCAGGCGCGUAAAUUACCCAAUUCUAAAGAAGAGAGGUAGUGACAAGAAAUAACAAUACAAGGCCAAUCUGGCUUUGUAAUUGGAAUGAUGGGAAUUUAAAACCUUCCCAAAACUCAAUUGGAGGGCAAGUCUGGUGCCAGCAGCCGCGGUAAUUCCAGCUCCAAUAGCGUAUAUUAAAAUUGUUGCAGUUAAAACGCUCGUAGUUGAAUUUCAAAGAAUCGAUAUUUUAAGUAGCACUUUGUAGAUUAAUCCACAUAACUGAUACUACGUAUCGACUUUGUGCGCAUUUUUCUACUUAUGUGUUCUUUUAAUUAAAAUGAUUCUUUUUAAGAUCUUUCUUUUUUGUUUCGGCAUUUUAGGAGAUCUUGUUACUUUGAGUAAAUUAGAGUGUUCAAAGCAAACAGAUUAUAGCAUCUUUAUGCGUUUGAAUACUACAGCAUGGAAUAACAAAAUUGAACAAGUCAGAAUUUUGUUCUUUUUUCUUAUUUUGGCUUAGUUACGAUUAAUAGGAGUAGCUUGGGGGCAUUUGUAUUCAGAUGUCAGAGGUGAAAUUCUUAGAUUUUCUGGAGACAAACAACUGCGAAAGCAUUUGCCUAAAAUACUUCCAUUAAUCAAGAACGAAAGUUAAGGGAGUGAAGACGAUCAGAUACCGUCGUAAUCUUAACCAUAAACUAUGCCGACUAGGCUUUGGAUGAAAGAUUUUAAAAUAAGAGUUUUUUCUCUGAGGAGUUAAAACUCUUAGAUUGC
This 1039-nucleotide ribosomal RNA is filed under the name Plasmodium inui. RNAcentral's name for it is "SSU rRNA". It matches the Rfam family "Eukaryotic small subunit ribosomal RNA". The record is from RNAcentral. Lineage: Eukaryota; Apicomplexa; Aconoidasida; Haemosporida; Plasmodiidae.